UAGUAGGCGGGGUAACGGCCCACCUAGUCUUCGAUGGAUAGGGGUUCUGAGAGGAAGGUCCCCCACAUUGGAACUGAGACACGGUCCAAACUCCUACGGGAGGCAGCAGUGAGGAAUAUUGGUCAAUGGGCGCAGGCCUGAACCAGCCAAGUAGCGUGAAGGAUGACUGCCCUAUGGGUUGUAAACUUCUUUUAUAAAGGAAUAAAGUCGGGUAUGUAUACCCGUUUGCAUGUACUUUAUGAAUAAGGAUCGGCUAACUCCGUGCCAGCAGCCGCGGUAAUACGGAGGAUCCGAGCGUUAUCCGGAUUUAUUGGGUUUAAAGGGAGCGUAGAUGGAUGUUUAAGUCAGUUGUGAAAGUUUGCGGCUCAACCGUAAAAUUGCAGUUGAUACUGGAUAUCUUGAGUGCAGUUGAGGCAGGCGGAAUUCGUGGUGUAGCGGUGAAAUGCUUAGAUAUCACGAAGAACUCCGAUUGCGAAGGCAGCCUGCUAAGCUGCAACUGACAUUGAGGCUCGAAAGUGUGGGUAUCAAACAGGAUUAGAUACCCUGGUAGUCCACACGGUAAACGAUGAAUACUCGCUGUUUGCGAUAUACAGCAAGCGGCCAAGCGAAAGCGUUAA
Molecule: ribosomal RNA, 617 nt
Filed under: uncultured bacterium
Lineage: Bacteria
Description: bacterial SSU rRNA
Rfam family: Bacterial small subunit ribosomal RNA
Source: RNAcentral